RNAcentral lists this long non-coding RNA (431 nucleotides) under Linum usitatissimum (flax). Its description in RNAcentral is "long non-coding RNA (LUSI_LNC007375)". Lineage: Eukaryota; Viridiplantae; Streptophyta; Magnoliopsida; Malpighiales; Linaceae. The record is from RNAcentral.
UCUUCUCUUCUGCUGCUUCCUCCUAGGUUAACCAUCAUCCUUGCCUUUCCUCAGCUUCUAGGCUUUGAUUCUUUCUACAAUUUUGUAUCUUACCCCGGCCGCCGGAAACUAACCCCCUGCUUCCUCCUAGGUUAACCAUAAUCCUUGCUUUUGCCCAGCUUCUAGGCUUUGAUUCUUUCUACAAUUUUCUUCAUCUUACUCCGGCCGCCGGCAACAACCCCCACUUAGGUGUCCUGCACUCUCCUCUCACUUCACUACUACUAGCCCCUUCCGGGAAAAACCCUACUCUUCUUGUCUUCUUUCAAAAGGAAUCUCUGUUUUGGAUUUUGAUGCCAAGGACUGGUUAGGGUUUAGUUUCCUUGAUGGAUAAGGAUAAGUCAUCUCCUCAUGGAGGGUUACCGCCGACUCCCACAGGCGGGCGGUUGCCGGGC